This 424-nucleotide ribosomal RNA is filed under the name uncultured prokaryote. Its description in RNAcentral is "bacterial SSU rRNA". It matches the Rfam family "Bacterial small subunit ribosomal RNA", at positions 355 to 774 of the family's 1533-position model. The record is from RNAcentral.
UCGAGAAUCUUCGGCAAUGGGGGAAACCCUGACCGAGCGACGCCGCGUGCGAGAUGAAGGCCUUCGGGUUGUAAAUCGCUGUCAGUGGGGAGGAAGUGCCGGUGGGUUCUCCCAUCGGUUUGACCUAUCCGCAGAGGAAGGACGGGCUAAGUUCGUGCCAGCAGCCGCGGUAAUACGGACCGUCCAAACGUUAUUCGGAAUCACUGGGCUUAAAGGGUGUGUAGGCGGUCCGGGAAGUUGGGUGUGAAAGCCCUCAGCUCAACUGAGGAACUGCGUCCAAAACUGCCGGACUCGAGGGAGACAUAGGUGAGCGGAACUUAGGGUGGAGCGGUGAAAUGCGUUGAGAUCCUAAGGAACACCAGUAGCGAAAGCGGCUCACUGGGUCUCUUCUGACGCUGAAACACGAAAGCUAGGGGAGCGAAGA